AUCAUUUUUGUUGUCUUUUGGCUAAGAUCAAGUGUAGUUCUGUUCUUAUCACUUUUGUAUCUGAUAUAUCCUCUAUUUGAGGAUUCUAAAAUGAAUUUUUGGAAUUGGGAGAUGGAAUAGAGGCAUAAAAAAAGAAAAAAAUCCUCUUCAAGCUUCAAAGAUUGGCACAGAAA
Molecule: small nuclear RNA, 173 nt
Filed under: Salvator merianae (Argentine black and white tegu)
Lineage: Eukaryota; Metazoa; Chordata; Lepidosauria; Squamata; Teiidae
Description: U2 spliceosomal RNA (ENSSMRG00000021651.1)
Rfam family: U2 spliceosomal RNA
About the family: U2 is a small nuclear RNA (snRNA) component of the spliceosome (involved in pre-mRNA splicing). Complementary binding between U2 snRNA (in an area lying towards the 5' end but 3' to hairpin I) and the branchpoint sequence (BPS) of the intron results the bulging out of an unpaired adenosine, on the BPS, which initiates a nucleophilic attack at the intronic 5' splice site, thus starting the first of two transesterification reactions that mediate splicing.
Source: Rfam by way of RNAcentral